GACGAACGCUGGCGGCGUGCUUAAUACAUGCAAGUCAACUGAACUUAGGAUAGCAAUAUUUUAAGGGAGGUGGCGCACGGGUGAGUAACACGUAGGUAAUCUGCCUUUAGGUCUGACAUAACCUACCGAAAGGUAGACUAAAAUCAGAUGAUGCAGCGGCUCGACAUCGAGACAGUUGUUAAAUCUUCGGAGCCUAAAGAUGAGCCUGCGUCUGAUUAGGUAGUUGGCGGUGUAAUGGACCACCAAGCCUGCGAUCAGUAGCUGGUCUGAGAGGAUGAUCAGCCACACUGGAACUGAGACACGGUCCAGACUCCUACGGGAGGCAGCAGUAAGGAAUAUUGCUCAAUGGCCGAAAGGCUGAAGCAGCAACGCCGCGUGGAGGAUGAAAUACUUUGUAUGUAAACUCCUGUAAGAAGGGAAAAUGUUCCGAUUCAUCGGAAUUGAUUGUACCUUCAGAGUAAGCCCCGGCUAACUACGUGCCAGCAC
Molecule: ribosomal RNA, 486 nt
Filed under: uncultured bacterium
Lineage: Bacteria
Description: bacterial SSU rRNA
Rfam family: Bacterial small subunit ribosomal RNA
Source: RNAcentral